CCUACUAAGUUGAAGCAUAUCACUAAGCAGAGGAAAAGAAACCAACAAGGAUUUCCAUAGUAAUGGCGAGCAAACUGGAAAAUGUCUAGAUUGGAAAGUGAGGUGCACAUGCACCUUGAGUUGUAGUCUGAAGCAUCCUCUGCGGUAGACUGGGCCUAGGUUCCUUGGAAUGCAACGCUGGAGACAGUGAGAGCACAGUUCAGUCCAGAUCCUAUUGCAUGAUGAGGUGUUGUCGUGGAGUCGGGUUGUUUGGGAAUGCAGCCUCAAUUGGGUAGUAAAUCCCAUCCAAGGCUAGAUACUGGCAAGAGACAGAUAGUAAACAAAUAGUGCAAGGGAAAGAUGAAAAGGACUUGAAAAGAGAGUUAAAGAGUGCUUGAAAUUUCUAGGAGGUGUUAUGCCUCAUGUUUUAGGCAUAAGUCUCUCCCUGCAAUACCCUCAGUGAGGGCUUUCCAACAAGCAUGUUCUUGAGUUAAUCCAACCUUUGAGUAUGGAGAUUUAUUAUUUUCACUAAUGAGGUUUAUUAACUUAGCAAGAACUGUGAAACGACCAAGGCCUGGGGUGAGCUCCCAUACAUUCUGAUGUACCGGAGACACCAACCAAACAAACAAUAGGGAUUGGGUGGCUCAUGUUAAACAAUAGUGCUGCCUUCUCUUGGAGCAUACAUCUCAUCAAGGCAGCAUUGCCUUCUCCUCAUAAACACAUGCAACAAGCAAGUGCCAUUCUGAAUCAUUG
RNAcentral lists this non-coding RNA (732 nucleotides) under Selaginella moellendorffii. RNAcentral describes it as "rRNA LSU_rRNA_eukarya". It matches the Rfam family "Eukaryotic large subunit ribosomal RNA", at positions 24 to 664 of the family's 3401-position model. Lineage: Eukaryota; Viridiplantae; Streptophyta; Lycopodiopsida; Selaginellales; Selaginellaceae. The record is from Rfam by way of RNAcentral.